AUCAGUGGCGGACCCGCCGCGGCUCCGAGCGUAGUAGUAAAAUAUCUCGCUAUGGAGGCCCGUGGAGGGAUUACCGGCCGUAAAACCUCUUCUUUACGGAAGAACUUCUCAAGGUUGACCUCGGAUCAGGUAGGAAUACCCGCUGAACUUAAGCAUAUCAAUAAGCGGAGGAAAAGAAACCAACAGGGAUUGCCCCAGUAACGGCGAGUGAAGCGGCAACAGCUCAGAUUUGAAAUCUGGUCCCCAGGGCCCGAGUUGUAAUCUGUAGAGGAUGUUUCUGGCAAGGCGCCGUCCGAGUUCCCUGGAACGGGACGCCGGAGAGGGUGAGAGCCCCGUACAGGCGGACGCCGAGCCUCUGUGAAACUCCUUCGACGAGUCGAGUAGUUUGGGAAUGCUGCUCAAAGCGGGAGGUAAAUUUCUUCUAAAGCUAAAUAUAGGCCAGAGACCGAUAGCGCACAAGUAGAGUGAUCGAAAGAUGAAAAGCACUUUGAAAAGAGGGUUAAAAAGCACGUGAAAUUGUUGAAAGGGAAGCGCCUGUGACCAGACUCGCGCCCGGCGUAUCAUCCGGCGUUCUCGCCGGUGCACUACGUCGGGCUCGGGCCAGCAUCGGUUCUAGCGGGGGGAUAAAGGCGGCGGGGAUGUGGCUCCCCCGGGAGUGRUAUAGCCCGCCGCUCAAUGCCCCCGCCGGGACCGAGGACCGCGCAU
This 705-nucleotide ribosomal RNA is filed under the name fungal endophyte. RNAcentral's name for it is "eukaryotic LSU rRNA". The stretch from base 116 to 705 matches the Rfam family "Eukaryotic large subunit ribosomal RNA", at positions 1 to 600 of the family's 3401-position model. The record is from RNAcentral. Lineage: Eukaryota; Fungi.